RNAcentral lists this ribosomal RNA (421 nucleotides) under uncultured bacterium. RNAcentral describes it as "bacterial SSU rRNA". It matches the Rfam family "Bacterial small subunit ribosomal RNA", at positions 355 to 774 of the family's 1533-position model. The record is from RNAcentral.
UAAGGAAUAUUGGUCAAUGGACGCAAGUCUGAACCAGCCAUGCCGCGUGAAGGAUGAAGGUCCUCUGGAUUGUAAACUUCUUUUAUCUGGGACGAAAACGGGAUUUUUAUCUCAAUUGACGGUACCAGAGGAAUAAGCACCGGCUAACUCCGUGCCAGCAGCCGCGGUAAUACGGAGGGUGCGAGCGUUGUUCGGAUUCACUGGGCGUAAAGGGUGCGUAGGUGGUGGGGUAAGUCGGAUGUGAAAUCUCGGAGCUCAACUCCGAAAUGGCAUUGGAAACUACCCUGCUAGAGGGUCGGAGGGGGGACUGGAAUUCUCGGUGUAGCAGUGAAAUGCGUAGAUAUCGAGAGGAACACCAGUGGCGAAGGCGAGUCCCUGGACGACUCCUGACACUGAGGCACGAAAGCUAGGGGAGCAAACA